RNAcentral lists this ribosomal RNA (253 nucleotides) under uncultured bacterium. Its description in RNAcentral is "partial 16S ribosomal RNA". It matches the Rfam family "Bacterial small subunit ribosomal RNA", at positions 524 to 776 of the family's 1533-position model. The record is from RNAcentral.
UACGUAGGGGGCAAGCGUUGUCCGGAAUCAUUGGGCGUAAAGAGCGUGUAGGCGGUCCGGUAAGUCGGCUGUGAAAGUCCAGGGCUCAACCCUGGGAUGCCGGUCGAUACUGCCGGACUAGAGUUCGGAAGAGGCGAGUGGAAUUCCCGGUGUAGCGGUGAAAUGCGCAGAUAUCGGGAGGAACACCUAUGGCGAAGGCAGCUCGCUGGGACGUUACUGACGCUGAGACGCGAAAGCUAGGGGAGCGAACAGG